This is a long non-coding RNA of Jaculus jaculus (lesser Egyptian jerboa), 405 nucleotides long. RefSeq lists it as uncharacterized. The transcript has 4 exons. NCBI's taxonomy places the organism in Eukaryota, Metazoa, Chordata, Mammalia, Rodentia, Dipodidae. The record is from RefSeq and is a predicted model, not a curated record.
GAAGAAUCGCUGCACUGUGCGGGGGAGGAGCCUGGCAGCCCAGGUCUGCCAAAGACAAAUGCUUCUCCGCAGGCAGCGAGGGAGAGCUCUGCAGCAAGGUCCUCAGCUGAACUAACAGGAAGGAAAAGACAUGUGAGAGCCACUGGUUUACAGUCUGCCCCAGAGCAUGCUUAUGGUGACCACUGGGGAAAGACAAGACCCUUCAUCAACCCGAUACUGACACCAGCAUCAUGAUCAGUAUGUAUGUGUCUGUGACCUGCAUUUAGUAGGCACAAGACUUGUACUCCGUCUAAGAAGCCCCAGAUUUUCUAACUGGAUGGAGGCAACUGCAAACCAAAUUCCAAUGGAGAAAAUGUAUAGUAAAUCCUCUGAAGGGGACCAGGGUGAAGAAAGAUCAGUGAAGAG